RNAcentral lists this ribosomal RNA (216 nucleotides) under uncultured bacterium. Its description in RNAcentral is "partial 16S ribosomal RNA". It matches the Rfam family "Bacterial small subunit ribosomal RNA", at positions 1279 to 1500 of the family's 1533-position model. The record is from RNAcentral.
AAGUCAUCCUCAGUUCGGACUGGGGUCUGCAACCCGACCCCACGAAGCUGGAUUCGCUAGUAAUCGCGCAUCAGCCAUGGCGCGGUGAAUACGUUCCCGGGCCUUGUACACACCGCCCGUCAAGCCAUGAAAGCCCGGGGGGCGCCUGAAGUCCGUGACCGCGAGGGUCGGCCUAGGGUGAAACCGGUGAUUGGGGCUAAGUCGUAACAAGGUAAC